This 328-nucleotide ribosomal RNA is filed under the name Escherichia coli. RNAcentral describes it as "bacterial LSU rRNA". It matches the Rfam family "Bacterial large subunit ribosomal RNA", at positions 2621 to 2925 of the family's 2925-position model. The record is from RNAcentral. Lineage: Bacteria; Pseudomonadati; Pseudomonadota; Gammaproteobacteria; Enterobacterales; Enterobacteriaceae.
GUGAGACAGUUCGGUCCCUAUCUGCCGUGGGCGCUGGAGAAUUGAGGGGGGCUGCUCCUAGUACGAGAGGACCGGAGUGGACGCAUCACUGGUGUUCGGGUUGUCAUGCCAAUGGCACUGCCCGGUAGCUAAAUGCGGAAGAGAUAAGUGCUGAAAGCAUCUAAGCACGAAACUUGCCCCGAGAUGAGUUCUCCCUGACUCCUUGAGAGUCCUGAAGGAACGUUGAAGACGACGACGUUGAUAGGCCGGGUGUGUAAGCGCAGCGAUGCGUUGAGCUAACCGGUACUAAUGAACCGUGAGGCUUAACCUUACAACGCCGAAGGUGUUU